CUACGUGCCAGCAGCCGCGGUAAUGCGUAGGUGGCAAGCGUUGUCCGGAAUUAUUGGGCGUAAAGCGCGCGCAGGCGGAUUGGUCAGUCUGUCUUAAAAGUUCGGGGCUUAACCCCGUGAUGGGAUGGAAACUGCCAAUCUAGAGUAUCGGAGAGGAAAGUGGAAUUCCUAGUGUAGCGGUGAAAUGCGUAGAUAUUAGGAAGAACACCAGUGGCGAAGGCGACUUUCUGGACGAAAACUGACGCUGAGGCGCGAAAGCCAGGGGAGCGAACGGGAUUAGAUACCCCGGUAGUCCUGGCCGUAAACGAUGGGUACUAGGUGUAGGAGGUAUCGACCCCUUCUGUGCCGGAGUUAACGCAAUAAGUACCCCGCCUGGGGAGUACGACCGCAAGGUUGAAACUCAAAGGAAUUGACGGGGGCCCGCACAAGCGGUGGAGUAUGUGGUUUAAUUCGACGCAACGCGAAGAACCUUACCAGGUCUUGACAUUGAUGGACAGAACUAGAGAUAG
Molecule: ribosomal RNA, 509 nt
Filed under: uncultured bacterium
Lineage: Bacteria
Description: bacterial SSU rRNA
Rfam family: Bacterial small subunit ribosomal RNA
Source: RNAcentral